Molecule: ribosomal RNA, 253 nt
Filed under: uncultured bacterium
Lineage: Bacteria
Description: partial 16S ribosomal RNA
Rfam family: Bacterial small subunit ribosomal RNA
Source: RNAcentral
UACAGAGGUGGCAAGCGUUGUUCGGAAUUACUGGGCGUAAAGGGCGCGUAGGCGGUCUUGUAAGUCUCGUGUGAAAUCCCUCGGCUUAACUGAGGAACUGCACGGGAUACUGCUUGACUUGAGUUCGGGAGAGGGAAGCGGAAUUCCGGGUGUAGCGGUGAAAUGCGUAGAUAUCCGGAGGAACACCGGUGGCGAAGGCGGCUUCCUGGACCGACACUGACGCUGAGGCGCGAGAGCGUGGGGAGCGAACAGG